RNAcentral lists this ribosomal RNA (439 nucleotides) under uncultured bacterium. RNAcentral's name for it is "partial 16S ribosomal RNA". It matches the Rfam family "Bacterial small subunit ribosomal RNA", at positions 339 to 795 of the family's 1533-position model. The record is from RNAcentral.
CUACGGGCGACUGCAGUGAGGAAUAUUGCACAAUGGGGGGAACCCUGAUGCAGCAACGCCGCGUGGAGGAUGACGCAUUUCGGUGUGUAAACUCCUUUUAUAUGUCAAGAAAAUGACGGUAGCAUAUGAAUAAGCACCGGCUAACUCCGUGCCAGCAGCCGCGGUAAUACGGAGGGUGCAAGCGUUACUCGGAAUCACUGGGCGUAAAGGACGCGUAGGCGGGUUGGAAAGUCAGGUGUGAAAUCCUACAGCUUAACUGUGGAACUGCACUUGAAACUUCUAAUCUAGAGUAUGGGAGGGGGAGAUGGAAUUAGUGGUGUAGGGGUAAAAUCCGUAGAUAUCACUAGGAAUACCUAAAGCGAAGGCGAUCUCCUGGAACAUUACUGACGCUAAGGCGUGAAAGCGUGGGGAGCAAACAGGAUUAGAUACCCCAGUAGUC